This 161-nucleotide ribosomal RNA is filed under the name uncultured bacterium. RNAcentral's name for it is "partial 16S ribosomal RNA". It matches the Rfam family "Bacterial small subunit ribosomal RNA", at positions 355 to 509 of the family's 1533-position model. The record is from RNAcentral.
UAGGGAAUUUUCGUCAAUGGGCGCAAGCCUGAACGAGCGAUGCCGCGUGAGUGAAGAAGGCCUUGGGUCGUAAAGCUCUGUUGCGGGGGAAAAAAGGCAUCUGCAGGAAAUGGUAGAUGACAGAUGGUGCCCCGCCAGAAAGUCACGGCUAACUACGUGCC